This 523-nucleotide ribosomal RNA is filed under the name Bacteroides fragilis. RNAcentral describes it as "partial 23S ribosomal RNA". It matches the Rfam family "Bacterial large subunit ribosomal RNA", at positions 689 to 1208 of the family's 2925-position model. The record is from RNAcentral. Lineage: Bacteria; Pseudomonadati; Bacteroidota; Bacteroidia; Bacteroidales; Bacteroidaceae.
AGGGCGGAUAGUCGGAAGGAGUAGACGCGAAACCAAGUGAUCUACCCUUGGGCAGGUUGAAGGUUAGGUAACACUAACUGGAGGACCGAACCGAUAAGCGUUGAAAAGCUUCCGGAUGACCUGAGGGUGGGGGUGAAAGGCUAAUCAAACUUGGAGAUAGCUCGUACUCCCCGAAAUGCAUUUAGGUGCAGCCUUGAGAGUUACUAAUGUGAGGUAGAGCGACUGAUAAGAUGCGAGGGCUUCACCGCCUAUCAAGUCUUGAUAAACUCCGAAUGCGCAUUAGUUCUAUCUCAGGAGUGAGGGCAUGGGUGCUAAGGUCCAUGUCCUAAAGGAGAAGAAUCCAGACCAUCAGCUAAGGUCCCCAAAUAAACACUAAGUUGAACUAACGAAGUCAGAUUGCUAAGACAGCUAGGAUGUUGGCUUGGAAGCAGCCAUUCAUUUAAAGAGUGCGUAACAGCUCACUAGUCGAGGAGUUUGGCGUGGAUAAUAAUCGGGCAUAAGUGUUUUACCGAAGCUAUGGGAU